UGUUCUUUAAAUAGGGACUCGUAUCAACGGCAUCACGAGGGCUAUACUGUCUCCCCUCUCCAAUCAGUGAAACUGAUCCCCCCGUGAAGAAGCGGGGAUAUAAUUAUAAGACGAGAAGACCCCAUGGAGCUUUAAACCCAACAUGCACCCCCUCACUCAAACAUCAACUCAAUCUGGGGCCCUGUGCGUUGGUUUUGGGCUGGGGGGACCACGGAGCAAAAUUGAACCUCCAUAACAAAUGGGCUAAUACCCUUAUCCACGACCUACAGGUCCAAGAAUCAUUAAAAUGAUGUUUAACGACCCGAUAACUCGAUCAAUGAACCAAGUUACCCUGGGGAUAACAGCGCAAUCCACUCCAAGAGCCCAUAUCGACAAGUGGGUUUACGACCUCGAUGUUGGAUCAGGGUAUCCUAGUGGUGCAGCCGCUA
RNAcentral lists this ribosomal RNA (428 nucleotides) under Odorrana livida (green cascade frog). RNAcentral describes it as "partial 16S rRNA". It matches the Rfam family "Bacterial large subunit ribosomal RNA", at positions 1970 to 2564 of the family's 2925-position model. Lineage: Eukaryota; Metazoa; Chordata; Amphibia; Anura; Ranidae. The record is from RNAcentral.